CGCCCGCCGCGCGCGGCGGGCGGGGCGGGGGCACGGGGGGCCUACGGGAGGCAGCAGUGGGGAAUAUUGCACAAUGGGGGAAACCCUGAUGCAGCGACGCCGCGUGAGUGAAGAAGUACUUCGGUACGUAAAGCUCUAUCAGCAGGGAAGAAGAUGACGGUACCUGACUAAGAAGCCCCGGCUAACUACGUGCCAGCAGCCGCGGUAAU
Molecule: ribosomal RNA, 209 nt
Filed under: uncultured bacterium
Lineage: Bacteria
Description: partial 16S ribosomal RNA
Rfam family: Bacterial small subunit ribosomal RNA
Source: RNAcentral